GUACACGCUGUGACUAGCAUAUCAAUAAGCGGAGGAAAAGAAACUAACAAGGAUUCCCCUAGUAACGGCGAGUGAAGCGGGAAGAGCUCAAAUUUGAAAUCUUAAAGGGUUUCCCAUUACGAAUUGUAGUUUAAAGAAGUGUUUUCUGUUGAGGUUUUGGUAAAAGUUCUUUGGAAUAGGACAUCAUAGAGGGUGAGAAUCCCGUAUUUGACCUUUACUUUCAACUUUGUGAUACACUUUCAAAGAGUCGGAUUGUUUGGGAAUGCAGUCCAAAAUGGGUGGUAAAUUUCAUCUAAAGCUAAAUAUUGGCGAGAGACCGAUAGCGAACAAGUACCGUGAGGGAAAGAUGAAAAGAACUUUGAAAAGAGAGUUAAACAGUACGUGAAAUUGUCAAAAGGGAAGCGUUUGACACCAGUGUUGUUUUUCUGAAAAUCAAUUAAAGAACUGUUUAUGCUAAGCUGUUUAGACUUUAUCAGCUAUCUGUUUAGUUUUGAGCUUUUCUUUAAUGCACUUUUCAGUUAACAAGUCAACAUCAAUUUCUUUUGCUGUAAAAAAGCUUGAGGAAGGUGGCUUGAGAUUCGUCUUAAGUGUUUAUAGCCUCUUGCCUAUGCAGUCGGAGAGAUUGAGGUCUGCAGCGUAGAUCCUUCGGGGCUAAAUGCAUUUGUGCUAAGUUAUAGCAUUUUAUAGACAACUUGUUGACUAUGAUUUGUCUUGUAGCUUACUCGCUUAUGUUAUUUUACCUACGCUUAGGAUGUUGAAGAUGUAGCACAUCAU
RNAcentral lists this ribosomal RNA (774 nucleotides) under uncultured Neocallimastigales. RNAcentral describes it as "partial large subunit ribosomal RNA". It matches the Rfam family "Eukaryotic large subunit ribosomal RNA", at positions 22 to 635 of the family's 3401-position model. The record is from RNAcentral. Lineage: Eukaryota; Fungi; Neocallimastigomycota; Neocallimastigomycetes; Neocallimastigales.